Molecule: transfer RNA, 73 nt
Filed under: Klebsiella pneumoniae
Lineage: Bacteria; Pseudomonadati; Pseudomonadota; Gammaproteobacteria; Enterobacterales; Enterobacteriaceae
Description: tRNA-Leu
Rfam family: tRNA
About the family: Transfer RNA (tRNA) molecules are approximately 80 nucleotides in length.
Source: RNAcentral
GCGAAAUCGGUAGACGCAGUUGAUUCAAAAUCAACCGUAGAAAUACGUGCCGGUUCGAGUCCGGCCUUCGGCA